This 471-nucleotide long non-coding RNA is filed under the name Takifugu rubripes (torafugu). RNAcentral's name for it is "lncRNA (ENSTRUG00000029922.1)". Lineage: Eukaryota; Metazoa; Chordata; Actinopteri; Tetraodontiformes; Tetraodontidae. The record is from RNAcentral.
AUGACUUUUCAGCCGCUCGUGGGAACAUCUGCAGGCACGAGGAGAAGCGAGGAUUCUGGCUGGUUUGGAGCUGCCUUGCAUUUGAAGAUGAUGCGAUUGCUGUUCCUGUGUCUGCUGCUGCUGCUGCCGACCACCACUGCUGCUUCAGAUGACGUUGAAGGAUCAGCUGAUGGAGAUGUGGAUGAUGAGGAUCUCAAUGAGGACCCAGAUUUCCUUGCAAAAUAUGGUUCUGGCCUGGGUGUAGCCGGAUCGAUGGGAGAUGAGGAACGACCAGAUCACUUCAUCAUGGUCGUCAUCGUUGUAGCCGUGGCGGCGCUCACCCUUUCAGUUGCAGCAAUAGUCAGGUGUACUCCGUGCCUGUGGAACAGCAUCAGAAAGGGGUCUAGAGACUGGCGACUACUCGGUCCCACGGCCGACAGCAAUCAAACGCACCACUACAGUCCUUCGACCUUCUCCACUCAUGACAGUUAG